RNAcentral lists this ribosomal RNA (253 nucleotides) under uncultured bacterium. Its description in RNAcentral is "partial 16S ribosomal RNA". It matches the Rfam family "Bacterial small subunit ribosomal RNA", at positions 524 to 776 of the family's 1533-position model. The record is from RNAcentral.
UACAGAGGGGGCAAGCGUUGUUCGGAAUUACUGGGCGUAAAGGGCGCGUAGGUGGCCAACUAAGUCGGACGUGAAAUCCCUCGGCUUAACCGGGGAACUGCGUCCGAUACUGGCAGUCUCGAGUGCGGGAGAGGUGAGUGGAAUUCCCAGUGUAGAGGUGAAAUUCGUAGAUAUUGGGAAGAACACCAGUGGCGAAGGCGGCUCACUGGCCCGUAACUGACGCUGAGGUGCGAAAGCGUGGGGAGCAAACAGG